AACAGGAUUAGAUACCCUGGUAGUCCACGCCGUAAACGAUGCUAACUCGUUUUUGGGUUUUCGGAUUCAGAGACUAAGCGAAAGUGAUAAGUUAGCCACCUGGGGAGUACGAACGCAAGUUUGAAACUCAAAGGAAUUGACGGGGGCCCGCACAAGCGGUGGAUUAUGUGGUUUAAUUCGAUGAUACGCGAGGAACCUUACCAAGGCUUAAAUGGGAAAUGACAGGUUUAGAAAUAGACUUUUCUUCGGACAAUUUUCAAGGUGCUGCAUGGUUGUCGUCAGCUCGUGCCGUGAGGUGUCAGGUUAAGUCCUGCAACGAGCGCAACCCCUGUCACUAGUUGCCAUCAUUAAGUUGGGGACUCUAGUGAGACUGCCUACGCAAGUAGAGAGGAAGGUGGGGAUGACGU
This 407-nucleotide ribosomal RNA is filed under the name Virgibacillus profundi. RNAcentral's name for it is "bacterial SSU rRNA". It matches the Rfam family "Bacterial small subunit ribosomal RNA", at positions 771 to 1185 of the family's 1533-position model. The record is from RNAcentral. Lineage: Bacteria; Bacillati; Bacillota; Bacilli; Caryophanales; Bacillaceae.